RNAcentral lists this ribosomal RNA (495 nucleotides) under uncultured bacterium. RNAcentral's name for it is "partial 16S ribosomal RNA". It matches the Rfam family "Bacterial small subunit ribosomal RNA", at positions 30 to 507 of the family's 1533-position model. The record is from RNAcentral.
UGACCGCUGGCGGCGUGCCUACUACAUGCACGUCGAGCGAACAGACGAGGAGCUUGCUCCUCUGACGUUAGCGGCGGACGGGUGAGUAACACGUGGAUAACCUACCUAUAAGACUGGGAUAACUUCGGGAAACCGGAGCUAAUACCGGAUAAUAUAUUGAACCGCAUGGUUCAAUAGUGAAAGACGGUUUUGCUGUCACUUAUAGAUGGAUCCGCGCCGCAUUAGCUAGUUGGUAAGGUAACGGCUUACCAAGGCAACGAUGCGUAGCCGACCUGAGAGGGUGAUCGGCCACACUGGAACUGAGACACGGUCCAGACUCCUACGGGAGGCAGCAGUAGGGAAUCUUCCGCAAUGGGCGAAAGCCUGACGGAGCAACGCCGCGUGAGUGAUGAAGGUCUUCGGAUCGUAAAACUCUGUUAUUAGGGAAGAACAAAUGUGUAAGUAACUAUGCACGUCUUGACGGUACCUAAUCAGAAAGCCACGGCUAACUACGUG